GUGGGUAGUUUGACUGGGGCGGUCUCCUCCCAAAGCGUAACGGAGGAGCACGAAGGUUAGCUAAUCCUGGUCGGACAUCAGGAGGUUAGUGCAAUGGCAUAAGCUAGCUUGACUGCGAGCGUGACGGCGCGAGCAGGUGCGAAAGCAGGUCAUAGUGAUCCGGUGGUUCUGAAUGGAAGGGCCAUCGCUCAACGGAUAAAAGGUACUCCGGGGAUAACAGGCUGAUACCGCCCAAGAGUUCAUAUCGACGGCGGUGUUUGGCACCUCGAUGUCGGCUCAUCACAUCCUGGGGCUGAAGUAGGUCCCAAGGGUAUGGCUGUUCGCCAUUUAAAGUGGUACGCGAGCUGGGUUUAGAACGUCGUGAGACAGUUCGGUCCCUAUCUGCCGUGGGCGCUGGAGAAUUGAGGGGGGCUGCUCCUAGUACGAGAGGACCGGAGUGGACGCAUCACUGGUGUUCGGGUUGUCAUGCCAAUGGCACUGCCCGGUAGCUAAAUGCGGAAGAGAUAAGUGCUGAAAGCAUCUAAGCACGAAACUUGCCCCGAGAUGAGUU
This 550-nucleotide ribosomal RNA is filed under the name Klebsiella pneumoniae. RNAcentral describes it as "partial 23S ribosomal RNA". It matches the Rfam family "Bacterial large subunit ribosomal RNA", at positions 2261 to 2810 of the family's 2925-position model. The record is from RNAcentral. RNAcentral also lists the same sequence under 1 other name. Lineage: Bacteria; Pseudomonadati; Pseudomonadota; Gammaproteobacteria; Enterobacterales; Enterobacteriaceae.